AGAGUUUGAUCCUGGCUCAGGACGAACGCUGGCGGCGUGCCUAAUACAUGCAAGUCGAACGAGAGCGACCGGUGCUUGCACUGGUCAAUCUAGUGGCGAACGGGUGAGUAACACGUGGGUAACCUGCCCAUCAGAGGGGGAUAACAUCCGGAAACGGAUGCUAAAACCGCAUAGGUCUUUGAACCGCAUGGUUUGAAGAGGAAAAGAGGCGCAAGCUUCUGCUGAUGGAUGGACCCGCGGUGCAUUAGCUAGUUGGUGAGGUAACGGCUCACCAAGGCCGUGAUGCAUAGCCGACCUGAGAGGGUGAUCGGCCACAUUGGGACUGAGACACGGCCCAGACUCCUACGGGAGGCAGCAGUAGGGAAUCUUCGGCAAUGGACGGAAGUCUGACCGAGCAACGCCGCGUGAGUGAAGAAGGUUUUCGGAUCGUAAAGCUCUGUUGUAAGAGAAGAACGAGUGUGAGAGUGGAAAGUUCACACUGUGACGGUAUCUUACCAGAAAGGGACGGCUAACUACGUGCCAGCAGCCGCGGUAAUACGUAGGUCCCGAGCGUUGUCCGGAUUUAUUGCGCGUAAAGCGAGCGCACGCGGUUACAUAAGUCUGAAGUUAAAGGCUGUCGC
RNAcentral lists this ribosomal RNA (620 nucleotides) under uncultured Carnobacteriaceae bacterium. Its description in RNAcentral is "bacterial SSU rRNA". It matches the Rfam family "Bacterial small subunit ribosomal RNA", at positions 8 to 608 of the family's 1533-position model. Lineage: Bacteria; Bacillati; Bacillota; Bacilli; Lactobacillales; Carnobacteriaceae. The record is from RNAcentral.